GUGAAUCAUCGAAUCUUUGAACGCAAAUUGCACUCUCUUCGGAGAGUAUGCCUGUUUGAGGGUCAGUAUUAAUAAAAAUCGGCGUGUUGCUCUUUUGUGAUGCUCCGGAGUUUGGGUCAUCUUAUAAUAAUACCUUUCAAGUGUUUUUUAAGAGGCUUAAAAUUGACAUCUUUUUUGCGCAUUUUUUGACGUACAUAAAUUUUUUUAUUCGUUUAUUCCAAUGCCAAAAUCUAUUAGAUGCGACCAUAUCGUGUGGUUCCGUGUCUAUAAAUUUUUUCAUGAUUUGACCUCAAAUCAGGU
RNAcentral lists this unclassified non-coding RNA (300 nucleotides) under uncultured Rhizophagus. RNAcentral describes it as "sequence contains 5.8S rRNA gene, ITS2". The stretch from base 1 to 65 matches the Rfam family "5.8S ribosomal RNA", at positions 84 to 154 of the family's 154-position model. Lineage: Eukaryota; Fungi; Glomeromycota; Glomeromycetes; Glomerales; Glomeraceae. The record is from RNAcentral.